CAAUUAUACAGCGAAACUGCGAAUGGCUCAUUAUAUAAGUUAUCGUUUAUUUGAUAGUACUUUACUACUUGGAUAACCGUGGUAAUUCUAGAGCUAAUACAUGCUAAAAAUCCCGACUUCGGAAGGGAUGUAUUUAUUAGAUUAAAAACCAAUGCCCUUUGGGCUCCUUGGUGAAUCAUGAUAACUUCUCGAAUCGCAUGGCCUUGCGCCGGCGAUGGUUCAUUCAAAUUUCUUCCCUAUCAACUUUCGAUGUUUGGGUAUUGGCCAAACAUGGUCGCAACGGGUAACGGAGGGUUAGGGCUCGACCCCGGAGAAGGAGCCUGAGAAACGGCUACUACAUCCAAGGAAGGCAGCAGGCGCGCAAAUUACCCAAUCCCGACUCGGGGAGGUAGUGACAAUAAAUACUGAUACGAGGCUCUUUUGGGCCUUGUAAUUGGAAUGAGUACAAUUUAAAUCUCUUAACGAGGAACAAUUGGAGGGCAAGUCUGGUGCCAGCAGCCGCGGUAAUUCCAGCUCCAAUAGCGUAUAUUAAAGUUGUUGUGGUUAAAAAGCUCGUAGUUGAACCUUGGGCCUGGCUGGCCGGUCCGCCUCACCGCGUGUACUGGUCCGGCCGGGCCUUUCCCUCUGUGGAACCUCAUGCCCUUCACUGGGUGUGACGGGGAAGCAGGACUUUUACUGUGAAAAAAUUAGAGUGCUCCAAGCAGGCCUAUGCUCGAAUACAUUAGCAUGGAAUAAUGAAAUAGGACGUGCGGUUCUAUUUUGUUGGUUUCUAGGACCGCCGUAAUGAUUAAUAGGGACAGUCGGGGGCAUCAGUAUUCAAUUGUCAGAGGUGAAAUUCUUGGAUUUAUUGAAGACUAACUACUGCGAAAGCAUUUGCCAAGGAUGUUUUCAUUAAUCAGGAACGAAAGUUAGGGGAUCGAAGACGAUCAGAUACCGUCGUAGUCUUAACCAUAAACUAUGCCGACUAGGGAUCGGACGAUGUUAUUUUUUGACUCGUUCGGCACCUUACGAGAAAUCAAAGUGUUUGGGCUCCAGGGGGAGUAUGGU
This 1047-nucleotide ribosomal RNA is filed under the name Leptobacillium sp. RNAcentral's name for it is "SSU rRNA". It matches the Rfam family "Eukaryotic small subunit ribosomal RNA", at positions 71 to 1129 of the family's 1831-position model. Lineage: Eukaryota; Fungi; Ascomycota; Sordariomycetes; Hypocreales; Cordycipitaceae. The record is from RNAcentral.